RNAcentral lists this unclassified non-coding RNA (3126 nucleotides) under Hevea brasiliensis (rubber tree). The record is from RNAcentral. Lineage: Eukaryota; Viridiplantae; Streptophyta; Magnoliopsida; Malpighiales; Euphorbiaceae.
UGAAAAGCAUCAAGUGUCCGCACUGCAUGGCUGCAAGCCUGCAACGUUUUUUGAAUCUUCAACAAAAUUCCUGGACUUUACUGUUAUUUAAUUAAUCUUUUGCCGCUUUGCCGGACCUGGUAAAGGUUUGGUCUUUUUUUGUUAUUUCUUCGUGGGUUCUGUGUAGUCGCCAAAAAUGACCUUGUUUUUCCCGAUUAGCAGCUGCCUGAGGUAAUAUUUCUCUACAAGAGAUUCAUUGUCUACUUUCCUUUCUGAAUUAUGCUUAAAACUUCUAGUUUGUUUGAUUUAGCUUUAUCUUUUAGCCUUUUGCGUUUCCCUUACUGUGUUUAUCUGGAAACUCAUUUCAAUAUCUUGUGUUCUCCCGUUGCUGAUCUUAGUUGAGAGUAAUCUUAUAUAACUUUGGUUUUUAAAAGAAGUUGGUAUGUACUCUGAUUUUGGGCUUUCAAAUUGUUGCUUUGGGUGGGUUUGUGCGCAAUUCAAGCGAAAAUGAGUUUAAACUAUGUUCUGUUUAUAUCGCAUUUUCACACCAACAUAGGAGCUGACUGAUUGUUGAUUAAUUAUAUUUCUUGGCUUUUUAUGUGGGUUCUGGUCACAAUUGUGUUGCCUUGUAUAACUUUUUCCCCCUUUUGUGGUCUUUUUUUGAAACCAAAGAAGAAAAUUUCUAAUGACGAAGCUCAGCUUCUUGUGUUUCUUUCUACCUUGAUGUCACAGUAGAAAUUAUUUAGGGUCAUUCUUUGAUACAGCAAUUAGUGUAAGCAAUUCAAUUUCCAAUGCUAUAUAUUGCAUGUGUUCUUCAUAUAGCGAGGCAAGAAUGAAAUUCAUAGUUUUCUAUGUUUUUUCAGUAUCUUGGAGCUUUCUUGGGUUGAAUAAAUGUUAGUAUCACUAUCCCAUUUCUUGAGUUGAGCUGUUAUACAAGACAAAGUAUUCAUUGUUGUUAGCCUAGAGUACUAAUUACUCCAGUGUGAUACUUGUGGUUUUCAAAGGUAUUUGGGGAGCUCUUUCAGUAAUCAAUUCAAUGGUUUUGCAAUCUUUUGUGAAACUGAAGAUAAUGAGAUUUAGUAUGGAUAGCACUCUAGAUGUCAACAGUGGUUAGCAUCACAGGAUAACAGUGUCCACCUACAGGCUUAUAAAUUCAGAAUUUCUGGAACUAUUCAAGUUCUUGAAAACUUGAGCUGUGGUGAAAUGGUUAUAAAUAGUGAUGGAGGAGGGGUAGCAGAUGUUAAGGAAGAUUUCAAUCUGAAAACGACUGGAAAUGGUUUUGACACUCUUAACAUUUCAACUUCUCGGAAGGCGCUGCUUGGUGAUGACAAUCCUUGCAUCGGGAAGCAAGAUAAGUUGAAAAUAAUCUCUACGAGACUAAAUAUACUGCAAUUUAGUUCUGAUGGCAGUCUAGUUUCUCCAUCGGCUAAAUUCAGGCAGAUUGCAGAGGAAAGAGAUGAAAUAUCACGUUCUGUGCCUUCUUCAGCUAGCCAAGGUUUACGAGAACGCUUCAAUGGAAUUGUGGCUCAAAAAAUUGAUUGGGCAUAUUUAUGGAACAUCUCCAGAAACUGGAUCAAGAAUCCCUUUAACAUGGCGCUAUUUCUGUGGAUCAGUUGUGUUGCAGUCUCAGGAGCAAUCCUUUUUCUAGUAAUGACAGGAUUGCUAAAUAGUGUCCUACCAAAGAAAUCUCAGAGAGAUGCCUGGUUCGAGGUUAACAAUCAAAUCCUCAAUGCUCUCUUUACUCUCAUGUGCCUGUACCAACACCCAAAGCGAUUCCACCACCUUGUGCUUCUGUGUAGGUGGAGACCAAAGGACAUAACAACACUCAGAAAAAUAUACUGCAAAAAUGGCACUUAUAAACCACAUGAGUGGGCUCAUAUGAUGGUGGUUAUUGUUUUGCUUCACAUAAAUUGCUUUGCUCAAUAUGCUUUAUGUGGCCUCAAUUUGGGAUACAAAAGAUCCAAACGACCUGCAAUAGGUGUUGGUAUCUGCCUCUCCAUUGCAAUUGCUGCUCCAGCAAUAGCCGGUGUCUAUGCGAUUGUUAGCCCCCUUGGGAGGGAGUAUGAACCUGAAUUUGAUGAAGAAGCACAGAAUAAAACUGUUACCAAUGGCACUAGUCAUGCUAGCCGCUGCAUGUCACUGGAGAAGAGAUUCUCAUUUGCAUCACGAGAUGAGCAGAGAAUUGCUGAGUAUGCACCCGUAUGGAGAGGGGGAUUAUUUGACAUUUGGGACAACAUUUCUAUAGCAUAUCUUUCUCUUUUCUGUAGCUUUUGUAUGUUUGGGUGGAACAUGGAAAGACUUGGGUUUGGGAACAUGUAUGUUCAUAUUGCUACCUUUAUCCUCUUCUGCGUUGCUCCUUUUUGGAUCUUCAACUUGGCUGCCAUCAACAUUGAUAAUGAGACUGUCAGGGAGGUUCUAGGAUUAACUGGUAUAGUGCUUUGUUUAUUUGGUCUACUUUAUGGUGGCUUCUGGAGGAUCCAAAUGAGAAAGAGAUUCAAUUUGCCGGCUAAUAAGGCAUGUUGUGGAAAAUCAGAUAUAACAGAUUGCACUAAUUGGCUUUUUUGUUGUUGGUGCUCUCUUGCCCAGGAAAUCCGAACAGCUGACUUCUACGACAUUGUGGAGGACAAGUUUUGCAGGAAGCAAAUAGAUGAGAGUAACCGGCCAACACUCUCUCCCUUACCCCACGAUGGAGUAGUUCAGUUUAGCUAUAACCCAAAAUCUCCACUUCAAAACAGCCCUAGACUGUCUAGGCUCAGGGCUGAUUACUCUCCAAGUCCAAGCAGAUUUUCGAAAUAUUAUUGUCCAGGCAGGCAGCUUCGCAAGGUGGAAGACGAGUUUUCUUCAAAAGAUGCUGACAAUUUUAUGAAGCCACCUGUUUUAUCAUCAAUACAAAGAUGAAGAGUUACCAACCAAAAUAUGUGAAGAUAAUUACUGUUAGCACAUUUGUAGACAUACAGAGUGCUUUAGCUUAAAAUUCGGAUAAACCUGCACAAUGGUGCAUCUGGAUUACACGUAUUUCAUUUUCUUUUUGCAUCGUCAUACUCCCAUGUAGCUUGUAUCUUGUAUUGUAUUUCAAUGAGUCCUUUCUGUUAGCUUGUAAGUGCAACUGGAUACUGUCAAAUUUUAUUGCAUUGAUUGAUCUCUUUG